RNAcentral lists this long non-coding RNA (230 nucleotides) under Mustela putorius furo (domestic ferret). Its description in RNAcentral is "lncRNA (ENSMPUG00000027827.1)". The record is from RNAcentral. Lineage: Eukaryota; Metazoa; Chordata; Mammalia; Carnivora; Mustelidae.
ACCUAUGCCUUUGCCAUGGAAAGAAAGUGAGAUGUGCCGCUCAGCAUGGAGAUGGAUGGGACCUCCCGGUGGCCAGCAGGGUAAUCACCUUGCCAUGUCCGUGGUAACCGUACUGGGCAAAGAAGAAAGUAUGGGAAAGGGAGUGAGGGGAGCAAACCAGUUUCCAACGCUCUCUCAUUCCUAAACUUUUGAUCAAGAGGAGCUGGGAAGGUAGAGUUAACUUUUAACUA